AACAAGGUCUCCGUUGGUGAACCAGCGGAGGGAUCAUUACAGAGUUAUCUAACUCCCAAACCCAUGUGAACUUACCUUUGUUGCCUCGGCAGAAGCUACCCUGUACCUACCUGGAACAGCCUACCUGGAGCGAUCCGGGCUGGCCUACCUGGAACGGUCUGGUGGUCGACUGCCGGUGGACCAUUCAACUCUUGUUAUUUUAUUGUAAUCUGAGCGUCUUAUUUUAAUAAGUCAAAACUUUCAACAACGGAUCUCUUGGUUCUGGCAUCGAUGAAGAACGCAGCGAAAUGCGAUAAGUAAUGUGAAUUGCAGAAUUCAGUGAAUCAUCGAAUCUUUGAACGCACAUUGCGCCCAUUAGUAUUCUAGUGGGCAUGCCUGUUCGAGCGUCAUUUCAACCCUUAAGCCUAGCUUAGUAUUGGGAAUCUACUGUAUUGUAGUUCCUCAAAUUCAACGGCGGAUCUGUGGUAUCCUCUGAGCGUAGUAAAUUUUUAUCUCGCUUUUGUCAGGUGCUGCAGCUCCCAGCCGCUAAACCCCCAAUUUUUUAAUGGUUGACCUCGGAUCAGGUAGGAAUACCCGCUGAACUUAAGCAUAUCAAUAA
Molecule: unclassified non-coding RNA, 598 nt
Filed under: Seiridium kartense
Lineage: Eukaryota; Fungi; Ascomycota; Sordariomycetes; Amphisphaeriales; Sporocadaceae
Description: sequence contains ITS1, 5.8S rRNA gene, ITS2
Rfam family: 5.8S ribosomal RNA (bases 236-389)
Source: RNAcentral